This 460-nucleotide ribosomal RNA is filed under the name uncultured bacterium. RNAcentral describes it as "partial 16S ribosomal RNA". It matches the Rfam family "Bacterial small subunit ribosomal RNA", at positions 338 to 795 of the family's 1533-position model. The record is from RNAcentral.
CCUACGGGUGGCUGUAGUGAGGAAUAUUGGUCAAUGGACGAGAGUCUGAACCAGCCAAGUAGCGUGAAGGAUGACUGCCCUAUGGGUUGUAAACUUCUUUUAUAUGGGAAUAAAGUGUUGCACGUGUGCGUUUUUGUAUGUACCAUAUGAAUAAGCAUCGGCUAACUCCGUGCCAGCAGCCGCGGUAAUCCGGAGGAUCCGAGCGUUAUCCGGAUUUAUUGGGUUUAAAGGGAGCGUAGGUGGAUUAGUAAGUCAGUUGUGAAAGUUUGCGGCUCAACCGUAAAAUUGCAGUUGAAACUGGCAGUCUUGAGUACAGUAGAGGUAGGCGGAAUUCGUGGUGUAGCGGUGAAAUGCUUAGAUAUCACGAAGAACUCCGAUUGCGAAGGCAGUUCACUAGACUGCAACUGACACUGAGGCUCGAAAGUGUGGGUAUCAAACAGGAUUAGAUACCCGAGUAGUC